RNAcentral lists this ribosomal RNA (602 nucleotides) under uncultured bacterium. Its description in RNAcentral is "bacterial SSU rRNA". It matches the Rfam family "Bacterial small subunit ribosomal RNA", at positions 926 to 1532 of the family's 1533-position model. The record is from RNAcentral.
CAAGCGGUGGAUGAUGUUCUUUAAUUCGAUGCAACGCGAAAAACCUUACCCACCUUUGACAUGUACGGAAUCCUUUAGAGAUAGAGGAGUGCUCGAAAGAGAGCCGUAACACAGGUGCUGCAUGGCUGUCGUCAGCUCGUGUCGUGAGAUGUUGGGUUAAGUCCCGCAACGAGCGCAACCCUUGCCAUUAGUUGCUACGAAAGGGCACUCUAAUGGGACUGCCGGUGACAAACCGGAGGAAGGUGGGGAUGACGUCAAGUCCUCAUGGCCCUUAUAGGUGGGGCUAGAAACGUCAUGCAAUGGCCGGUACAAAGGGUCGCUAAGCCGCGAGGUGGAGCCAAUCCCAUAAAGCCGGUCGUAGUCCGGAUCGCAGUCUGCAACUCGACUGCGUGAAGUCGGAAUCGCUAGUAAUCGUGGAUCAGCAUGUCACGGUGAAUACGUUCCCGGGUCUUGUACACACCGCCCGUCACACCAUGGGAGCGGGUCUCGCCAGAAGUAGGUAGCCUAACCGCAAGGAGGGCGCUUACCACGGCGGGGUUCGUGACUGGGGUGAAGUCGUAACAAGGUAGCCGUAUCGGAAGGUGCGGCUGGAUCACCUCCUU